AUGCGAUAAGUAAUGUGAAUUGCAGAAUUCAGUGAAUCAUCGAAUCUUUGAACGCACAUUGCGCCCGCUAGUAUUCUGGCGGGCAUGCCUGUCCGAGCGUCAUUUCAACCCUCAAGCCCCCGGGCUUGGUGUUGGGGAUCGGCGAGCCUCCGCGCCCGCCGUCCCCUAAAUCUAGUGGCGGUCUCGCUGUAGCUUCCUCUGCGUAGUAGCACACCUCGCACUGGGAAACAGCGCGGCCACGCCGUUAAACCCCCAACUUCUGAACGUUUGACCUCGGAUCAGGUAGGAAUACCCGCUGAACUUAA
RNAcentral lists this unclassified non-coding RNA (305 nucleotides) under uncultured Ilyonectria. RNAcentral describes it as "partial contains 5.8S ribosomal RNA, internal transcribed spacer 2, and large subunit ribosomal RNA". The stretch from base 1 to 102 matches the Rfam family "5.8S ribosomal RNA", at positions 53 to 154 of the family's 154-position model. The record is from RNAcentral. Lineage: Eukaryota; Fungi; Ascomycota; Sordariomycetes; Hypocreales; Nectriaceae.